This 29-nucleotide small RNA is filed under the name Bombyx mori (domestic silkworm). RNAcentral describes it as "ovarian small RNA-20520". Lineage: Eukaryota; Metazoa; Arthropoda; Insecta; Lepidoptera; Bombycidae. The record is from RNAcentral.
UACCAACUGAUCGCCUGUAAGUCUUCUGC